AAAAAGGCUUCUGGUUAUAAACCGGAGGAAGGCGGGGAUGACGUCAAGUCAGCAUGCCCCGUACACCCUGGGCUACACACGUGCUACAUUGGGCGAGACAAUGAGAUGCAACUCUGCGAAGAUUAGCUAAUCUAUAAACUCGUUCUAAGUUCGGAUUGUAGGCUGCAACUCGCCUGCAUGAAGGUGGAAUCGCUAGUAAUCGCUGGUCAGCUACACAGCGGUGAAUUCGUUCCCGGGC
This 238-nucleotide ribosomal RNA is filed under the name Climacostomum virens. RNAcentral's name for it is "partial Bacterial small subunit ribosomal RNA". It matches the Rfam family "Bacterial small subunit ribosomal RNA", at positions 1142 to 1379 of the family's 1533-position model. Lineage: Eukaryota; Ciliophora; Heterotrichea; Heterotrichida; Climacostomidae. The record is from RNAcentral.